UACAGAGGUGGCAAGCGUUGUUCGGAAUUACUGGGCGUAAAGGGCGCGUAGGCGGCCCGAUAAGUCCCGCGUGAAAGCCCCCGGCUCAACUGGGGAACUGCGCGGGAAACUAUCGGGCUUGAGUUCGGGAGAGGGAAGCGGAAUUCCGGGUGUAGCGGUGAAAUGCGCAGAUAUCAGGAGGAACACCAAUGGCGAAGGCAGCUCGCUGGGACGUGACUGACGCUGAGACGCGAAAGCGUGGGGAGCAAACAGG
RNAcentral lists this ribosomal RNA (253 nucleotides) under uncultured bacterium. Its description in RNAcentral is "partial 16S ribosomal RNA". It matches the Rfam family "Bacterial small subunit ribosomal RNA", at positions 524 to 776 of the family's 1533-position model. The record is from RNAcentral.